RNAcentral lists this ribosomal RNA (443 nucleotides) under uncultured bacterium. RNAcentral's name for it is "partial 16S ribosomal RNA". It matches the Rfam family "Bacterial small subunit ribosomal RNA", at positions 338 to 795 of the family's 1533-position model. The record is from RNAcentral.
CCUACGGGUGGCAGCAGUGGGGAAUAUUGGGCAAUGGGCGCAAGCCUGACCCAGCAACGCCGCGUGAAGGAAGAAGGCUCUCGGGUUGUAAACUUCUUUUCUCAGGGACGAAGCAAGUGACGGUACCUGAGGAAUAAGCCACGGCUAACUACGUGCCAGCAGCCGCGGUAAUACGUAGGUGGCAAGCGUUAUCCGGAUUUACUGGGUGUAAAGGUCGUGUAGGCGGGUACGCAAGUCAGAUGUGAAAACCAUGGGCUCAACCUGUGGCUUGCAUUUGAAACUGUGUUUCUUGAGUACUGGAGAGGCAGACGGAAUUCGUGGUGUAGCGGUGAAAUGCGUAGAUAUUAGGAGUAACACCAGUGGCGAAGGCAGUCUGCUGGACAGCAACUGACGCUGAUGCGCGAAAGCGUGGGGAGCAAACAGGAUUAGAUACCCUGGUAGUC